GUGAGGUAACAGCUCACCAAGGCUACGAUGUCUAGGGGGUCUGAGAGGAUGGUCCCCCACACUGGUACUGAGACACGGACCAGACUCCUACGGGAGGCAGCAGUGAGGAAUAUUGGUCAAUGGGCGAAAGCCUGAACCAGCCAUGCCGCGUGAAGGAUGACAGCCCUAUGGGUUGUAAACUUCUUUUGUACGGGAAGAAACGCCUCUACGUGUAGAGGUUUGACGGUACCGUACGAAUAAGCAUCGGCUAACUCCGUGCCAGCAGCCGCGGUAAUACGGAGGAUGCAAGCGUUAUCCGGAUUUAUUGGGUUUAAAGGGUACGUAGGCGGGAGCUUAAGUCAGUGGUGAAAUCCUGCAGCUUAACUGUAGAACUGUCAUUGAUACUGGGCUUCUUGAAUGUAGUUGAGGUAGGCGGAAUGUGUAAUGUAGCGGUGAAAUGCUUAGAUAUUACACAGAACACCGAUUGCGAAGGCAGCUUACUAAACUACGAUUGACGCUGAGGUACGAAAGCGUGGGGAGCGAACAGGAUUAGAUACCCUGGUAGUCCACGCUGUAAACGAUGAUCACUCGUUGUUGGCAAUACACCGUCAGCGACUGAGCGAAAGCAUUAAGUGAUCCACCUGGGGAGUACGACCGCAAGGUUGAAACUCAAAGGAAUUGACGGGGGCCCGCACAAGCGGAGGAACAUGUGGUUUAAUUCGAUGAUACGCGAGGAACCUUACCUGGGCUUAAAUGUAGAAACCGGACGGAACCCGGGAAAACUGGGUCUUUUCCUUCGGACGGUCUGCAAGGUGCUGCAUGGCUGUCGUCAGCUCGUGCCGUGAGGUGUCGGGUUAAGUCCCAUAACGAGCGCAACCCUCAUCAUUAGUUGCCAGCGGGUAAUGCCGGGGACUCUAAGAAACUGCCGGUGUAAACCGAGAGGAAGGUGGGGAUGACGUCAAGUCAGCACGGCCCUUAUGUCCAGGGCUACACACGUGUUACAAUGGUCGGUACAAAGGGC
This 1000-nucleotide ribosomal RNA is filed under the name uncultured organism. RNAcentral's name for it is "bacterial SSU rRNA". It matches the Rfam family "Bacterial small subunit ribosomal RNA", at positions 252 to 1247 of the family's 1533-position model. The record is from RNAcentral.